Molecule: long non-coding RNA, 755 nt
Organism: Gossypium raimondii (Peruvian cotton)
Lineage: Eukaryota; Viridiplantae; Streptophyta; Magnoliopsida; Malvales; Malvaceae
Exons: 2
Source: RefSeq, a predicted model, not a curated record
UAGCGGCGCUAUGGAUAAACGCCGUAAAGGUUGAUUUCUUUUAGGCAAAACGUCGUCGUUUUGCUUUCCUCCAUUUUACCCAACCAAUAAACCCGAUGAACCUUAUUCAUUUCCCCCUUCUUCUGAAUUUCAUUUCCCCCUUUUUCCCAGUCUGAGAUCCUUAAAUUUCACCCAAAAUUUGCAGCCCAACCUUUUUUCCUCUGUUUUUUUUCCUCAACCUGUUCUCCUUAUUCCUUUUUCCCCCCGAAAUCCUUAAGUUCCACCCGAAAUCAGUAGCCUAACUAUUUUUCCCUAAAUCGGUAGCCUUGAAAUCAAUAUUGAAGGAAAAUAUCAAUUGCUUGCUCGGCAAGAGACAAGUAAUUUCUUCUUCUGCAUUAUUUCUUUUUGUUCAAAAUAUUUGGUUAAAAGUUUCCUAACUUUGUCAUGUAAUUUACUCUACUAUCCUUUUAUCCUAGCUACCAUCUUCCUAUUGCUUUCCUGCUUGUUAUCGGUUUUACACUGUUUUCUUUUGGGAAAGGGAAGGCAGGGCUUGGGUCUUUGGUUGUGUUAUUAUAAAUGAUGUAGACUGCAGGGAUCUUGUCUGGUUCGAUUCGAGCUUCAAACCCCAGUUUUAAGUGUUACUAAUGUAUGUUUGAGAUAACUUUCGAAAUAUCUUGUUUCCGGGUUCGGGUCUGGUGAGAUUGAUAAUUCAAUAUUAUUGGUAAAUUUGUUUUUAUCUUGCUUUUGUGAGAAUAAAAAUACAAUGGUUUCCCUUU